RNAcentral lists this long non-coding RNA (700 nucleotides) under Androctonus crassicauda. The record is from RNAcentral. Lineage: Eukaryota; Metazoa; Arthropoda; Arachnida; Scorpiones; Buthidae.
CUCUAAAUGGACUGAUACAAAAAUAUAUAUACAAAUCUACUUUAUAACCAGUUAUCUUAUCAAAAUAAAAUAUCUACGUCGAUUUUAAAUGAGAGAUAAUUAUGUUUACAUUCAACGUUUAAUAUAAAAAAAUUUUAUAUAGUUAAACAGAAAGGAGGGUAUUCAUAAGGAGGCAUUCAUUGCUAUCCUUUUAAAAAUUUUAUGCUGUUAGAAAAAUUCGGAAAUUGUGGAAUAACUCUUUCUGUCUGUUAUAUAUACCUGUGUCUGUCUGGAAUCGAACUGUUCCUUUGUAUGAAGCGCUUUAGGCGAAUAUUCACGCUUCCCUUCAUUCAUUGUUCUGUGCCGUUUGGGGUUUUACUUCAAUCAUCUGCCAACAAUAGCUGUUUAAGUGUGUUUCCAUAUACAAUAGCAUCUCGGUGCAAGGAAACACUCUCUGUAUUGUAAGAUGUAAAGAAUCAAAAUUUCAGUUUCCAAUAUAUCACUGAUCCAUAGUAAACGUUUCGAAAGAUUUACUACUCUCAAUGGACGCACAAAAUUUAUCUUCCAGGUCUUCGGGGAAUGACUUGAAGUGACUGCCUACCUGUCAUUUUUUUGAUACUAAUUGUUUUUUGCCUAAAAUUUUUCCAGAAUUUUCCAAACUUUCGACGUUACUUUUCUUGUCAUUUUUAUAAAACUGAAUGUGAGGAAACUUGAAGAUAUG